This 244-nucleotide unclassified non-coding RNA is filed under the name Hevea brasiliensis (rubber tree). Lineage: Eukaryota; Viridiplantae; Streptophyta; Magnoliopsida; Malpighiales; Euphorbiaceae. The record is from RNAcentral.
GGAGCUUUUACAUGAUUUUCAUGAUUUCAAGUGUAGUCUUGUUGAUGUAUCCUCUGUGGUUAAUGCUAAGAUAACUUUCGACAUUACAUGUAUCAAACAUCUGCACGAUGAUUAUGCUCAAUAUUCUGAUUCUGAUGAAGACGAUGAAGACAGUUGCAGUGAUUAUCAUCAAACUUUUAAGACCCUCAUCCAAGAUUACCUUCAAAAGCUAUGUCGGGCAACUGAAUUAACAUUCGGAACUUUC